UGCAUGGUUGUCGUCAGCUCGUGUCGUGAGAUGUUGGGUUAAGUCCCGCAACGAGCGCAACCCUUAUUAUUAGUUGCCAGCAUUUAGUUGGGCACUCUAGUGAGACUGCCGGUGACAAACCGGAGGAAGGUGGGGACGACGUCAAAUCAUCAUGCCCCUUAUGACCUGGGCUACACACGUGCUACAAUGGAUGGUACAACGAGUCGCGAGACCGCGAGGUUUAGCUAAUCUCUUAAAACCAUUCUCAGUUCGGAUUGUAGGCUGCAACUCGCCUACAUGAAGCCGGAAUCGCUAGUAAUCGCGGAUCASCAUGCCGCGGUGAAUACGUUCCCGGGU
RNAcentral lists this ribosomal RNA (336 nucleotides) under uncultured prokaryote. RNAcentral describes it as "bacterial SSU rRNA". It matches the Rfam family "Bacterial small subunit ribosomal RNA", at positions 1042 to 1379 of the family's 1533-position model. The record is from RNAcentral.